Molecule: ribosomal RNA, 492 nt
Filed under: uncultured bacterium
Lineage: Bacteria
Description: partial 16S ribosomal RNA
Rfam family: Bacterial small subunit ribosomal RNA
Source: RNAcentral
AGUGAACGCUGGCGGUAGGCCUAACACAUGCAAGUCGAACGGCAGCACAGUAAGAGCUUGCUCUGACAGGUGGCGGGUGGCGGACGGGUGGGGAAUACAUCGGAAUCUACUUUUUCGCGGGGGAUAACGUAGGGAAACUUACGCUAAUACCGCAUACGACCUCCGGGUGAAAGCAGGGGAUCUUCGGACCUUGCGCGAAUGAAUGAGCCGAUGUCGGAUUAGCUAGUUGGCGGGGUAAAGUCGCACCAAGGCGACGAUCCGUAGCGGGUCUCAGAGGGUGAUCAGCCAGCCUGGAACUGAGACACGCCCCCGACACCUACGGGAGGACGCAGUGGGGAAUAUUGCACGAUGGGGGCAAGCCUGAUACAGCACUACCGCGUGGGUGCAGAAGGCCCUCCGCUUGUAAAGCCCUUUUGUUGGGCAAGAAAAGCAGCAGUUUCAUCCCCCGCUGUACUGACGGUACCCAACUAAUAAGCACCGGCUAACUUCGUG